This 1893-nucleotide long non-coding RNA is filed under the name Equus asinus (donkey). RNAcentral describes it as "lncRNA (ENSEASG00005026688.1)". The record is from RNAcentral. Lineage: Eukaryota; Metazoa; Chordata; Mammalia; Perissodactyla; Equidae.
CCUCGGCCCACGGCGGCAGCGUGUGACGGGGCCGCUCCCGGACAGUCCCGGGGAGCUGGUGGGAGGACCACCCGACGCCGCAGGAAGUGGAUCCGGUCAGCAAGACGCGUGACACGUCCCGCCCACAGGCCAUUCAAAUGGGAACAGACGGGUAAGGCGCAGGCAGCUCACGCAGGUAACUCAAGUCACCACCCCCAGGACGCACACCCGUGGAUAACCUGCCAGGCCAAAAACAAGGAAAAACAACUGAAGUUACAUGGGGAUCUGGAAUUAGAACAGCCUGCCUCAAAAUUGAACAGAAGGUGUUUUCAGAUCGUCCCCAAGCCAGCAGCCAGUAGAGAGUUCUCUGCUAAACUGAGUUCAGGGCGAGGCAGUGUGGACCAGAGACCCAGCAGGAGAGGAGAGUCUAAUGAAACACUUUCCUGGCGGAGUUUCCAUUCUGACACGUUGCCCUGGGAGGCUGAUGGAGGCCGGGGCGUCUGUAGCGGGCUGAUCUUCGGCCGGGGGCUGGGAGGAGUCUGUCCCUGUGGGUUCACAGGAGCCCCUCAAUUGUGCAUUCAAGGGCAGAGGGUGGUACUCGGGAGAUCUUUGAGGGUCCACAGGGCACCAGGCUGCUGGCAAGGUCGGAGAUGUGGGGUUUGGAGGGGGCUGUGCAGACGGAGCUGUUUUCUAGAUAAUGGCCUCUCUGCUGUGUGCUGCCCCACUGAGCCCACUGCAAUCGGGGUCCAGGUCUGGGAUCCCGGGGAGUCCCAGCAUUCUGGGUCUCUCCAGGGAACCGAGGCAGCAGCCGCCUUCCCCCUGUGCUGCCUGGGCCACUGUCUGUGGGAUGACAGCCCUUCCUCUGAAGCCAGAGAUGCAGCGCGUCCUGACUGCAAGGGCACUGCUCCCCACGUGCUCACCAGCAAACCCUGGGCAGCUGUGAGCUGGCUCCCUGCAGGCUCUGGGGGAGCAGGACCAGGACAGGGGCUCCCAGGGUCCACAGAGGGGACGGAGCCUUGUGGUCCUCAGAGCAAGCAUGCCUGGCCCCUGUGAGGGCUGUACCCGCCCGCGAGUGUCCUUGUGCCCCAAGCGCCCGUUUCCAUGCCUGGGGGACCCUCCUCCUCCCACUUCGCCUGGGGCCGCCUCCUCCUGUUGUCUCUGUGGCCGCCUCCAGGCACCUCUAGGGAGCCGUGAAAUGUGACCUGUGUCAUUUUGGUGAUUUCCCAUAGGAGUUAAAUGUUCAUAUUUGCGUUUAAACCAUUGUUGUAAAUAUAAAUACGAAUGGUAAAGUUCAUGCAAACAACUUAAACAUGUAACUUUUGUUUAUCUAGAACAUUAAAGAGCAAAUGAAAAGCCCACGACAAGUCUGGAGAAACCACAGAAGUGGAAAGAGGAUCAUACCUGGGCGCCUGUCACAGCCCUUUUUCCUGGGUUUGAACAGGGGGCUCUGCAUUCCCAUCUUGCACUGGGCCCUGCAGAUCAUGCCUCGGCUCCCAGUCUGAGAGCCCCCGUGGGGGCCUGUGUCCCUGUCCCUGGGCUCAUCUUCACCCCAGGCCUGGGCCGGGCUCCCUGAGGGGGUCAGCCAGUCCAUACUUGAAUCGUGUCCCUGGAGACCCCACUGCUCUGAGACUGCUCUGCUGGCCGUGCUGGGGCCUCCUCCAGGUUGCUGGGAAUAGCUCUGCUCUUUGGAGCUGGUGUGACCCCCAGGGAGGCCGAGGGGCCUGAGGGUGGGGGUGACUGGGGGUUCCUGGAACAUGGGGCUGGGGGCCAGUCCUCCAUGGGGCCCCUAGACAGGGGGCUCCUGCAGGAGGUUGGGGGGCCCUUGGGGCCCCUGACCAGGCUGCCCCACUCCUGCCAAGAACACCCCAUUGUCUGAGGGCCCUGGGAGUCAAGGGCAGCGCUGAGCCCAGGUCU